Molecule: ribosomal RNA, 374 nt
Filed under: uncultured bacterium
Lineage: Bacteria
Description: bacterial SSU rRNA
Rfam family: Bacterial small subunit ribosomal RNA
Source: RNAcentral
AUACGUAGGGGGCGAGCGUUAUCCGGAAUUACUGGGCGUAAAGGGUGCGUAGGCGGCCCUGCAAGUCAGGAGUUAAAGGCUUCGGCUCAACCGAGGUAAGCUCUUGAAACUGUAGGGCUUGAGUGCAGGAGAGGAGAGCGGAAUUCCUAGUGUAGCGGUGAAAUGCGUAGAUAUUAGGAGGAACACCAGUGGCGAAGGCGGCUCUCUGGACUGUAACUGACGCUGAGGCACGAAAGCGUGGGGAGCAAACAGGAUUAGAUACCCUGGUAGUCCACGCCGUAAACGAUGAGUGCUAGGUGUUGGGGAUCUCCAUCCUCAGUGCCGAAGUUAACACAUUAAGCACUCCGCCUGGGGAGUACGGUCGCAAGACUGAA